UACGGAGGGUGCGAGCGUUGUUCGGAAUUACUGGGCGUAAAGCGCGCGCAGGCGGCUUGGAAAGUCGGGUGUGAAAACUCGGGGCUCAACCCCGGGCGUGCAUCCGAUACUGCCAGGCUUGAGGCAGGUAGGGGAGAUCGGAAUUCCUGGUGUAGCGGUGAAAUGCGCAGAUAUCAGGAGGAACACCGGUGGCGAAGGCGGGUCUCUGGGCAACAACUGACGCUGAGGAGCGAAAGCGUGGGGAGCGAACAGG
RNAcentral lists this ribosomal RNA (253 nucleotides) under uncultured bacterium. RNAcentral's name for it is "partial 16S ribosomal RNA". It matches the Rfam family "Bacterial small subunit ribosomal RNA", at positions 524 to 776 of the family's 1533-position model. The record is from RNAcentral.